CCACAGCCUAGGCUGAAUUCAGAGCCUGUAAGUAGUGCAGAGCAAGUGAAUGGCAGUGUGCCUAUCUAUUAUUUUGGCACCACCCAAAUGCAAAAGCAAAAGACAACCCCCCCACCCUGUCAAAUGAAAAACAAUACGAGAUGCAUAUCAACAACAUAAAGAAAAAUUAAUAAUGUUUGAAACGGAUGAUGGCUGUCACAGAUGCCUGCUACAGCCCUCACACAGGAAAAGGAAGUAUAUUUUCCCCACUGGCUUCAACAGUUCAAACAGAACCACAGCUCCUCCCUGUGGUCCUAUGAAUGGAUUACUUCACAGCCACACCAGAGAGUUCCUCAAAAGAAUGAUCAUAAUCCUUGUCCGGCUUUGCUCGACAGCACUGGCUGCUUGACCACAGACGGUUCCUGGGUUCCAGGCAUGAUUUUUACAUGCUCCAAAGAUGUGGCUAAACAGGGAGUGAAUCCAUUUGGAGCAAAGCUUUGCCUUGUGCCAAGCGUUAGAUAGGGAACCAUUGUUAUAUGUGCUUAGAUGUCUUGCGAUUUUUGUCUCAGUAAGUCACAUGAACCGAGCACGGAGUUCAUUUGCUGAUAUAUAGACCUUGUCAUUUUAACAGACUUACUGUUCAUUUAAAGUAAAUUAGAAUUAUAGUCCACUUCUCCGAAGGCUUAGCAUAUGACGGGACUGUGCAGUAACACUAAAACACAUACAGUAUUCAUCUUUGAUCUAUUACAUGUCGUCAUCUAACAAAGGCUAGGAGAGUUAGAGAUAUAAUAAGGCUUUGAUCACAGGAAAACUUACCCCCAUUCUGGACUAUGGAUUAUAACAUUGAUUUUUUUUUUUUUUGCUCUCUCCUUAUUUUUACAAAGGGAUAUUUUCCACAACACCACAUUCUUUUAUUGAGAUAAUUACAGCUACUGCAAUGCUUGCUUCAGUAUAUUCUCUUCUGAAAAAAAACAAAACAAAACAAAAACCCUGAUUUUUAUUUUUAAAAUAAGCAUUGCAAGUGAUUUUUUUUCCUGGCUGAGUUAUCACAAAAUAGUCAAUGAAACAGAUCAAAAUGGAAGUAGCUGUUUAUUUUCUCACCAUCAGAUAUCCUGACAGAAUAUCUUCAGGAAGGUUAUCACUCCUCAUGUUGUUGAGGAGAGGGAGGAAAUGGCCUUACAGGUACAGAAUUGUGUGUGAGUGUGUCUGUGUGUACGAGUGUCUCUAUGUGAGUGUCUGUACGUGUGUGUGUGUGUGUGUGUGUGUGUGUGAAAGAAUGUGUUUUGUACAUGUGCAGAUGGAUGCUAAAUUCAAAUACAAAUAGAAAAUGCCAGUUAGACUUAUCACUGAAAGGAUCCUGCCCAUGAUUCAAAAUGUGUUCAUUUUGUUGAACACAGCAUUUAUUCAUAUUCAUUUAUUAAAGUGUUCUCACUUUUUGUAGGAUUUGUUUCUAUGAUAUUUAUCCUUUCUAAACCCCACCCACCCAGCCAUAUAUAUGCACACUCAGACACCCCAAAUUUUUUUCUUCUCUACUUUGUAACAAUAGCCUCUGAAUGUAAAAACAAAAUAUCUCCUAAAUUGUUUUUUAAUGCUUUAAAUAAGAAACUGAAUGCAAUCAGUAUUAAAAAAACAGAUGUCCUGCCCUAAAUAUACAUGAAAAGAAAUAGCAAGCUUAUUUAAUCCAGACUUUUGUCUAUUUUCAUCUCCUGUCAAAUGUAUAUGAAAUACAAAUCUGCAGAAUUGUUAUACAUUGCAUAAACAUUUAAAUGGACAUAACACAGCAGAUGUGCAAAUGCUGAUAUUUAUGAUCUGAAUAAUGAAUCAAGAACAUGGUUUAUUUGUUUUUAACAAUACAAUGUAUCAUUUUAUCCAGACAUUUUAGCAGCCCUAAGUUCACUCUGCAUAUGUAUAUAGAACAUAAAAUCUAAAAAGUUUAAUUAUGCUUAAAGAACAAAAUGUAAUAAAAUUUGCAAAGUAAUAAUUGUGGGUUCUUCCAGAAUUGUUUUAUAAGGUGAUAAUAAUGGAUGGAAUUAAUUAACCAGUGAUGUAUUUUCAAGCAGGAUAUUCUUGUAUGUUGUUUUAAAUUCCUGUGUUCCAUAUGAAAUCAUGCAAUUUUGCUUUAUUAUUUACUAAACGAAUACAUGUAAAUAAGUUUUUACUCUUUAAAGAUAAGAAGAUGCAAAUUAGCAAAAGGAAAUUAUGUUCAGGUGGGUCCUGUGCAAAUUUAACCUUGAGUACUGUUAAUUCUAUGUCACUCCUUGAUAGAUGCUUAGAUUUUCAAAUCUCUGGUUAGCAACUUAGCUUAAGACUAAUGAUUUGGUACCAAGCAAAAUGCAUUUGACCCAACUAUUAUUAGGCAACUGCUCCUAAACCUUCAUUGCUUUCAUUACUAAUUAAUUCAGGCAGAUAUUUAACUUAAUAAGGUAAGCAAACAAAAAACUUUAAAUUUUGUAAACUGUCUCCUAAUUAGCUUUUUUGUGUGCACUCAUUAUCAAGAUUAAUUACUUAUACAAGUGUCAGGCCUUACAUUUAGAGUAGUGCACUAGAAAAACACAUGCACAAUACAUUGACCACAGCUGGUUCCUCUGUUCCAGACUUCAUUUUGAUAUGUCACAAAAAUGUGGCUAAACAGGAAGAAUCAGAAUUCUUGAGAGCUAUUUUCCUCUUUGAGAGAAUAUAGAACAGAAAAUGAAAUAAAAAACACCCAAUCCAGAAAAAAAUUAGGGAGUAUCCACACUUAAAAUAGAUCUGUUCUAGUUUAAAAAUUCGGAUAACUACCAAGCCUGUUAACAUGAUGAACAGAAUUUAUAGAUUUAUAUCCACAUUCUUUCAGAUAAUGAAUAGCUAAACUUAGCCAUAAAAAAAAUCAUAGCUAAAAAAUUAAAAAAUUAAAUUCAAAAUUAAAAAAUUCAAAAUCCAUUGCUAGGUAACACUUUAAGGCACAACAUUCUCUUGUGAUAUUUUGGCUGAACCUAAUAAAAUUAUUAGUUAAGUAAUAUUUUGAAACUUAUGUACAGAAUCCAUUUUAUAUAUAAAAAUAGAAAAAGAGAUUUAUUUAUUUUUCUCAAAUAUUUGAAGGAGGUGAAAUUCAUUUAGAGUAGAAACUAAUUCCAGACCUUUCUUGUUUUAUAAGACAAUCAGAAAUGUUGCACUGCCUGGACAUUUCUUAAUGCAGAGACUAUUAAAUGUUUGACAUUUAAUAAAUUAUUUGCUUUAAGCUAAUGUAAUAAUUGCUACUACUAUUUACAGACAAAUUUGAAGAUAAUCCUUUGAUUUUUUUAAAAAAACCUGUUCAUUCUUGUUUCCAAGAUAUCUAAUAUUAGCAACAAAUUGCCCAUAUUGUUCUUAGUAAUUUUUGAUAGCAUUGCCCUUAAAUAUGCAAAUCAGGAUUAUAUUAAUUACAUAGCAGGUAUAUGUUUGUUAAAACCAACCCAGAUACAUCAUGAUCAUAAUCUGAUCUUAAAUUCCUGACUGUGUCCUGUGUUCACUCAAAAUAUUCUCUGAAGCUGUGGAUUUUAUGAAACUUUGAAGACAGCAGUAUUAUAAUUUUGAAACCUGUCCUAUAAUAUCUAUCAUUUUUUUUCAAAGUGCUUAGUGUGCCUUCUUUGAUUUGACAUACAAAUGUUGAAGUUUGUCACUAUCAUAUCUUUAUAUUUCCACUACUUGAAAGUGCUGAUUCAGGUUUUUUUUCCUAGGUAAAAUAUAUCCUUGAAAGCCAACUGGCUUUCAAUGUGUGUCAAAAUAAUGUAUGUCUUAAUAUUUGGUUUGGCAAAUAAAAAGUAUAUGCACUUUAUAUGAAGUCUUCUGGGGUUUUUUGGCAGGGGGAAAUGGGUCA
Long non-coding RNA from Crotalus tigris (Tiger rattlesnake), 3814 nucleotides. RefSeq lists it as uncharacterized. The transcript has 3 exons. Lineage: Eukaryota; Metazoa; Chordata; Lepidosauria; Squamata; Viperidae. The record is from RefSeq and is a predicted model, not a curated record.